RNAcentral lists this long non-coding RNA (446 nucleotides) under Athene cunicularia (burrowing owl). RNAcentral describes it as "lncRNA (ENSACUG00000003016.1)". Lineage: Eukaryota; Metazoa; Chordata; Aves; Strigiformes; Strigidae. The record is from RNAcentral.
GUAGGAAAUAGCUGGUUUUAAGGGAAUUUGUGUCCAUGACCUGCAGUACCAGCUACUUCUAACACUUGGUACAUCGGAACAGUAGUUCUGCCAGCUCUCUGCCCACGAGCACACAAAGCACAGCUUUGCAGGCCUCCGUCUUUCUUGGCUUCAGCACAUCUUGAAUUCUCUUCUCAGCUACGUUUCCAGGAAAAGACAAAGUCCUGGCUCUUCUCCAAGUUAUCCAUAGACUGACUGCUUGAGAGAAAGAUCAGCAGGCACUCCUCCUGCAGCUGGGACACUUUCUAAGAAGGGAGAAAUUGAACAAAACACAUCCCAAAGCUGGUGCUAUUGCCCUGCAGACAAGCAGGGAGGCACAUGGCCUUGGAAAAGCACGUGCAGAACUAAGUCAAGGUGAAGAUAACAGCAGAAUUUACAGGACGUAAGAUUCUUGGCCCUGUGAAGCA